GCGCAUUUAAUGACUCUGAGCCAGUUGGCUGGCUAGAUACCACUGAAUUAUGAACGUCUUCAGAAUCAAUAGAAAAUUUGCCAGAUUCUAGUUCUUGAUGUUGUUGAUAACCAUUAGCAGGAGAUUCUUCCAUUUCACCCUGGGUACCCAAUUCAUUUCUCUCCUUAAUUGUACUAUAUGGAGAGGGCUCAUCACCGUAAGACUCUGAACCAAUAGUCCAGGACACGGAAUGAGAAGAGAAAAUUG
RNAcentral lists this unclassified non-coding RNA (246 nucleotides) under Hevea brasiliensis (rubber tree). The record is from RNAcentral. Lineage: Eukaryota; Viridiplantae; Streptophyta; Magnoliopsida; Malpighiales; Euphorbiaceae.